GAUGAACGCUGGCGGCGUGCCUAAUACAUGCAAGUCGAGCGAACGGACGAGAAGCUUGCUUUUCUGAUGUUAGCGGCGGACGGGUGAGUAACACGUGGAUAACCUACCUAUAAGACUGGGAUAACUUCGGGAAACCGGAGCUAAUACCGGAUAAUAUUUUGAACCGCAUGGUUCAAAAGUGAAAGACGGUCUUGCUGUCACUUAUAGAUGGAUCCGCGCUGCAUUAGCUAGUUGGUAAGGUAACGGCUUACCAAGGCAACGAUGCAUAGCCGACCUGAGAGGGUGAUCGGCCACACUGGAACUGAGACACGGUCCAGACUCCUACGGGAGGCAGCAGUAGGGAAUCUUCCGCAAUGGGCGAAAGCCUGACGGAGCAACGCCGCGUGAGUGAUGAAGGUCUUCGGAUCGUAAAACUCUGUUAUUAGGGAAGAACAUAUGUGUAAGUAACUGUGCACAUCUUGACGGUACAUAAUCAGAAAGCCACGGCUAACUACGUG
This 497-nucleotide ribosomal RNA is filed under the name uncultured bacterium. Its description in RNAcentral is "partial 16S ribosomal RNA". It matches the Rfam family "Bacterial small subunit ribosomal RNA", at positions 28 to 507 of the family's 1533-position model. The record is from RNAcentral.